Cordylochernes scorpioides is the source of this 12846-nucleotide non-coding RNA. The record is from the annotation of a GenBank genome assembly. Lineage: Eukaryota; Metazoa; Arthropoda; Arachnida; Pseudoscorpiones; Chernetidae.
UUAAUUUGUGCCUUUAAUGAAAUUUUAAGGUUAUUUUUACGGGAUAGCAAUACAUAUUUAUGUUACUUGAUGCACAUUGAGAAUAAUGUUAACUUUUUCCAAACAUAAGCUACGUAAUAUUUAAAAUUCAUCUUUCAAAGUCUCCGUGUUAAUAUAUAUUUACAUUAUAGGGUCAUAAGCCCAUCUACUUAUAUAAGAAAUGAAAGCAUUUAGCACAAAUGUUUAUUUUACACUUAGACCAAACUGUUACCAGUGGUAUUUUGGUACUGUCCUUACUGCAAUGGAAAUAUAUUGAGAAGACUCAGCUCAUCAGUGGUGAACCUUCCUAGCCCUUUCUCCAAUUUAAUCUACCAGCCCGCUUUUUAGAACUAUAAUAUUAUAUCGGGCGAUUCUACUUAUAUAUGCUACACUGAAGGGUUGAAUCUUAGAAACGGUAUUCAAGCUUCCAUUUAUAUUUACAUUCUUAUAUUGGAUUCGGAAGAAUUUCUCUGUAAAGUUGAAUAGAAAAUAAAAUAUAGUUGAAGUGUUUGUUAUGAAUAGAUUGUAGGUAAUAGGUUCUAAAGACAGAUGAAUCUAUUGCUAGGUCAACAGCAUAUGGAUGUUGAAGGUAAUGUGGAACCAGCGCAUUACUGUUCGCAAUGAAUGUACAGCUGAGCCAAUUCUAAUCAGCGCACACUUCAAUUGCCUUCAAGAACCUACAGUACAACUGCUCUGGUGUGGAACUAACAACUAUCUACACAUAAUUAUCAUGCCGCAGCCUUGCAAAAAAUUGACAUGGACCCAGAGCAGCAGCUUUACACACCAAAGAUGCAGAAAAUUGCGACUGUUGUGAUAGAGAUGCAUGGAGACAUCUGAGGUUCUUGAUUUGACACGACAACAACAAUAUUAACUGCCUUAGAGGAACACGAUUGAGAGGUAGGUAUUACCUAUAUUAGGAAUGAUCUACCUGGAAUAAAUAAGGCAUGUAAGUCUAUCCGUGUUGAGGACAUAUGCACUACCGCGAGGGUGUAGACGCCUGGUAGUGCGGCAGUAGAUCUAUUUCACAAUAAAAGAGCGAGGUGAGAGAUGGUCCACUUUGUCGUGAUGGAUGCUCGCGACUCUUGGCCCAACUUGGAAUGAAUAAAUAUUCUGGUUCUCUGGGAGAAGGGUAAUAUAUGUCUGUUUGUUUGUUUUCAUGUGUGUGUCUUUCUGCGAGCGUGUUUUUGAGUCUGUGUGUAUUUUUGUGUGUGUACAAUUUUUGGUGUUUUUUUGCAUGUGUGUACGAAUAUGUGUUUAUGCGUGUGUGUUUUCAUGUGCUCACGAGUGUAUGUGUUUUCUGAGUGAGUGUCUGUGUGUAUGUUCGUGCUUGGGUUUGUUCGUCUGUGUUUUUGUAUGCAUAUGUGGGUUUUGUGUCUGUGUACGUGUGCGUUUGUACUAAAAACAUCAUCCUGUUAACCAGAUAAACAUUUUUAAAAGAAUGCAGCUACAGUAUCGGUGAAUAUUGUCACAAAGUAUUUAUUUUUUUAAUUUAACAGAAUAUAAUUUUUUUAUAUUCAUAUUUUGCUACUUUGUAAACUUCCCCAUUGCUUAUCUUUUGUUUAUCCUAUAUAGUUUGAUCUUGCCUGAAAUAAAUUGUCUCAUCCUGAAGGGGUGCAAACAUAACCAUUUCUUAAUAUACUUUUAAACAUUUGAUAAAGAAAUCUUUAUUCAAAUAAGCACUCACAGUUGAUGUCCAUUAGAUAUAUAUUUUAUUUAUCCUCAUUGUUCUAUAAAAACAGAAUACCAUCCGACACCCAUUGGGAUACUAGCCAACCAUGAUUACCCAUUAACACAGAUUACCUGGAAAUUAUUUUUUGGCUUUCAAAGGGUACAAAAUAGAGUUCCUAUUAUGAAAUAUUAAACCUCUAUUCCAGAUAAGAAAGAAACGCUGAAGGAAAAAAAAUAAAAAUUCCAUUAAAGAUAAUUGCGUCUUAAAUAUUUCAGAACAACUUUCGGAACUCCAUCUUAGCCAACAAAGACCAGUGUUGCUGGAUGAUAAUUUUAUUUAAAACUCCGUCACAGCCGACGUAAUCACCGGAAAUGACAUAUUGAGGUUCAGUUUGCCGGUUCAGCGACUUGAAUUAAAUUUAAUCCGGAACAACAGACGGUCGAUGUUUGUUCUUUUGGUGAGGUUUGUUUUGAUUGGUUCUUGGCGUGACAGCCGAACUUUUGGAAAGUUUUGAUUUCUUAUAAUUUUUAUAUAAUUGAUUAAUUAUCUGAUAAAUAUAUAUAUAUAUAGACAUUAAAUUUGUUAUAUAUUUGAUAACAUAUUUAUCUCUGAAAUAUUUACUUUUUGACGUAGUUUUAAAGUUAAAGUUUGAAAGGUCUUGAUCGUUGAUGUUAUUUUUAUUUUUAUAUAAUUGAUUAAUUAUGUGAUAAGUAUAUAUAUAACAAUAAACAAUAAAUUCGUUUCAUAUUUUAUAACAUGUUUAUCUCUGAUAUUUUAACUUUUUGAAGUAAUUUAAAAGUUGAGGUUUGAAAGGUCUUGAUUUUUUAUGAUUCUUAUUCUAUAUAAUUGAUAAAUUCUAUUUAUGAUAUAAUAUAUGUGAUAUCUUGGGACCUCUGGGACCAGUGUUACCUGAUGCUAGACGAACCUCGAUGUCAACUCUACCGUGCAGUCGUGGUGGAAGGCGACACAGCUGGGCCAAAGGUGAAAUAAACAAACAGAGAUUCCACUAAAAGCGUCUGACGUCAAGAAGGAAUGGGAUGAGGAGAGAGAGAUUUUAGAGCAAGUGUUACCGUUGGAAUCCAAGCGAAGACUGACAAUUCUAGGGCCUCGAUUUAACACCACGACCUUGCUGCUUUUUAAUUGGCUGACCUAUUUAGGUGAUUCUUUCCUAAUUGGUGGGACUUUUUCACGUGGUAGUGGGCUAUUGGUUGACCUACUUAGGUAUUGUCUUCUGAUUGGGCCUGGCUUAUCUCUUUGACGGAAGAAUACGUCCGGUCUUGUUCCGGAAAUUCGGGGCGUUACUCUUAGCUUUUAUGGUUUCCGCGAUAUCAGAUACGCCCUGUCCUGUCAGGAAGUAUUGACUUGUAAAUUAUUUAUAGUUGGGCUGGUUUUAAGCCUCUUUUGCUAGGCCUUGCUUCGACUUCUGUCCUAAACCUGAUUUGUUUUAACCUUAACUUUCUCCUGUCUCUCUCCAUUCCUUCUAUCUGUACAGUUGCAAUACUUUAUUAGAUUCUUACGCGGUACAGAUUGAUGUUAGUUGAGGCUUUCUAUGUGCAGUACAUAAGAAGUUAUAUACAGUCAUGGGGUGGAACAUGUGGUAGUGGAUAUUGAGACUAUUUACAACAAUUCCAUGGUCUUAAAUCAUCACAGAUGGCCCCGGAUGUGAGAGGGUUCAUAUGGAGGGAUUUAAGAGAGCGGAAUAGGAAGACUGUUAUUAAGGAAGUAAUUUUUAAAAAUUAAUUGAAAUGAGUUGGUAUAUAACAUGGGGUUGAUUUCUGUAUAUCCAUAAGAGAUAAUAAAACAUAAACAACUAAUAUUAAACAUACAAGUAAAAAUAAAAAUAUGAAUAAAAUAUUUAAUAGGGAACAUAUAAUGAUUAUAGGUAAAAAUAUAAAUGAUUGGAUGGGUAAAUCAUGAUCUUUUCGUGAUGGGCGUUAGAAAGGGUUGAGGGGUUAGUUAUUACUUGGUUGAGGCAAGGUCACUUUGACUCAAGUCCCAAACCAUUUAAUGUGCACGGCGCGGAAAACCUAGGCCAUGUUUCACAUGUAAAUUUAAGGACCUAAUAAAGUUACAGUACCACAAUCGAAAAGUAAGAUAAGGGGAUUGUUAUGGGUUUUAGUAAUUAGUCGUUAAGACGUACGCAUGCAGGAUAAAUGAGGGCGAAGAUCAGUGACCAGAAAUCAAAGUUUUAAUUAUAGUCGUCAGGGGCUUAGCGAGAAAAAGAGUAAAAUAAUAAAAAAAAAAUGUGCCAGCGUGUGGCAUGAGAGUGCCCUGGAAUAAAAAAAAAAUACAAUUUGCACGUAUCCAAGCCAGAAGUUGGGAUAAGGUAAAUCUGGGGGACGAUGUGUCAAGAUUGUUAAUUACGAAAUCAAAGUAGGUCAAGUCUAGCCUGCGAAGGAGUUAAAAGUUCCUGCGGAAAAGGAAUGUUAGUAAUUCUUACGAAGUAACCUUUAAAGUGGUUGUUUAAGAGGUUAUUGAAAAUUGCCCUGUUUUUAGAUCGUGAUUUUUAGUUUGAUUAUAAAAGAAUAUAUCAUUGAGAUAUGAAAUUGCGAAAGUAAGGCUUUGCAUAUAGCGUUAAAGGAUUUGAAAAAUCGAAAAUAGAAUUGCGAAGUUAAAUGCAAAGUAAUCUUUAAAAAAAAAGUAAAAAUAGUGAUGAUAUGAUACAAAGAUUAACACACUACAGCAGUAUAUAAGGGGUAAUAGAAAGUGAAAAUAUUAAAUGAAAAAAAAAAAAUAAUGAGCAAUAAUAUACUCGAUAGCAUUGACAUUAAUUAAUUAAUUAACUUUAUUAACAUCAUGAAACGCGAUAUCCCAAACUCAGGGAUAUUUGCGCCAAUACAUUUCACUGCAUUACAGCAAUUCGGCUAUAUACAAUCCUGUUCAAUUCAUUAUUUUACAUAAAUUAACUAAAGAAAAUUGUCCAAAGAGAAAAACAAACAACAAAGCAAAACACACAGAGCAAGCAUCGCAGUUCUUUUUUUUUUUUUUCUAAGAUUCCUUCUCUUUUUUCCAAUUCAAGAGAAAGUUGUAUAUGUAUUUACAAAAUUGAUCAAAAUUUUUAUACUUUUCUUUUUUGUCUACAAAUUCAUCAAGCUGUCCAAUACGACCAAAUCUAUUUUCCCUAAAAUCCCGGAAAAUUGGGCACUCCAGAAGUAGAUGUCUCGCGUCUUGAAUUUCACCUCCGCAGAAGCAUCCUGGUUCCUUCACGGCGCCGAUAGUUGCCAAAAAUUUCCCAAAAUUGCCAUGAUCUGUAAUGAAUUGGAUAUUAUAAAAAUUUGGACGGAAAAAUCUUGGAAUUUCUAAUACGAAAAAGCUUCUGAAAAUUUCAUUAGUGUUCUCAAAAAUUUCAUUCAUUUUUGCGUGUAAGAAUGAUUUGACUAUACUUGGAGCAUGGGGUUCGUAAGUAAUUAGAUCUUCAAUGGACAUUUGAGCUAGAUCAAAUUUGAUUAUUCUGGAUUCUAUAUAAUCUGUUAGGAGUGGAAUUUUUGCCAAGCUAUGCACACAGUUUGAUGAAGUGGUUUUGUAUGCUCUAACUGCCCAUAAAAUGAUCUGGUACUGCAUGGAGUUCAGUUUUUGUUUACAACGAUUGUUUAAAUAUUUGAACCAAAUUUCAGAACCGUAUGUAAGUACAGGCCUAAUGAUUGUUUUGAAUAAAGUUAACCUCUUUUCAGUGUCUAAACCCCACAUAUUGCCACUUAGUGAACACAAUAAAUUUUUCAUACGUCCUGCCUUACACAGAAUAUCAUUAACAUGCGGUGUAAAGUUAACUUUGUUUUUCCAUUUGUGAUUAGAAAAUUUCAUUCCCAGAAUUUUUACUUGCUUGACCGGCAUUAUUAUAUUGUUAUUAACCUUAAUAGGUAUUUUUUGUCUGUUAUGUAGGUAUAGCAUAUUAGUCUUCUCUGUACUGAUCGUUAAUUUAUUUCUAUUACACCAUUGGAUCACAUAAUUUAAGGUGUAUUCACUUGCGGUUUUUAGUCCUUCAAUAGUCUUAUUCCAGCAAAUUAUUGUAACGUCGUCUGCAUAGCAUAUAAUAUCUGCAUUCAUUGAAUCAAAAUUUAUCAACAAAUCAUUUAGCAAAAUAUUCCAUAGAAGUGGAGAUAAAGGUCCACCCUGUGGACAUCCUUUAGUUAGUUUCUUAUAAAAAGUUUCUGAUUCGUAUGUAAAUUUCACCUCCCUUUCAUUAUUCAAAUAAGAUUUUAUGAUCCGUAUUAAAUCUGAAGGAACAUCAUCAUUAUCCAUUCUUUUUAUAAUAGCAGGCCACCAUGACAUGGUAGCGGAAGGUGAAACAAUGUAAAUAACAUCUAAUUUAUAAAGUGAGAAAAAAUAUAAAAUGAUAAAUGCAAAUUAGUGAUAUAAACAUGAAAUAUAAACUUGAGAUUAUUAGAUAUGAUAUGAAAGAUAAAAUAUAAAGUUGAUUAUAAAAUAGAGUCAUAAAGCAAAAGUAAAUAAGUUUUGAUAAAGAAAAAUAAAAAAAAGACAAUAAUCUAAACUAAUUGGUUGACGUAAAAAAAAACAAUUAUAAGAGCUAUAUAAUGAUUAUAUAAAGGAUAUUAAAAUGAAAAUUUUUUAAAAAAUGUUCAUCGAGAAGGAAGAGCAAGUAAGAUUAUAUAUAGAAAUUAUAUAUCGUGAAAGAAUGGAAAGUUGUAGGCCAAACGUAAUGUACCUGUUUUUUUUUUUUUUUAGGAUGGGUAGAGAGAGCUUUAAAUUGUCCUCGAUUGAUAUCUUUGGUCUUGUUGGCCUAAGUUUUUCUAACUUAUCGAAUUUGUUUUAUGUUUGACGCGACUCGUGGAUCACAUUGUUUCCAGUUGUGAAACUAACUGAGUCCUAAUGUUGUCGAUUUUUUUUUUUUUUUUUUUUUUAAACUUAUGUGGGUGUGUGUGAUUUUUGUAAGUAAAAUGUUGUCCUUGGAUCUAAGUGUCGAUGUUAAGUUGACAAGUUAAUUGAGGGCGAGAGAAUGUUAGUGAACAGAUUUGUUAGUAAAUGUACGCACUAAUGUUUAAUUUAAUAGGUAGCGAAAAUCCAUUAGAGUGACAUCGGGGUGGUGACGGAUGUAACAAGAUGUCGGCUGUUUGUUUGCUCGGGGGGGCGAGGGGGAGCGAACCUAUUUUUAAUGUGAUUCCGGAUUUAGGUCAGAUGGCCUUUGCGAGGCUGCUUGUUUCUUCCAACUUAUUGGAUUUGUUAAUUCGAACUACGUUCGGAGAUUUUAUUUCUAUAAUUGUAAACGCAAAAGCGUUUUGAUUUGUCACGUUUGGUGACAAGCGUUAUGGGAUUGACAUAGAGAUAUACAGAGGUUGAAUUAUUCCGUGUGUUCAAGCAUUUGUUAGAUUUGUGUUUGUAUUUCGAAAAUCCGGAUAUUGUAUCUGUUGAUAUUAAAUCGACUGGUUGUUGUGUUUCGAUAUUUUGCGGACUUAGUAAAAAUGUUAUUCAUGGAUAUCGGGUUAGAAUUGAAUGAAAUUGCGACUAUCUACGUGGACAAUGUGUGGUUAAAUAAAUGUGUCACAGGCGUGAUGAAGGCGUCUUUGGCCUGAAAAUUGAAAGAGUUUAGUGGUGUGGCGCUGUGACACGAAGCGAAAAAAUUGUAAAUGAAAAGGUGUCACGUGAGGUCUUUGUUUUGUACAAAAUCUAACCUGUUACACUAAGAAUAACAAAUUUACUAAAGUCAUGGUUGUUGGUUGUACGAACAUAUCGAUAAUUUUUAUAUUGUUAGUGGAUAUGACACGUUUAAUGUGAGAAAAAAAAAAAGAUUGUGUGUGUUUAGUAGGGCGACGUAAUAAAGCUUUUGUGGCUCGAAAUUAGAUUUGGGUGUGAAGUCGCGCAUUAAAAAUUUGUUAAUUAGAAAAAGUGAUGUGAGAGGGUGUUGUUUAUUUUGUUGAGAGUGAUUUGUCGAUAUUUAACUAUGCGUGUAAAAGGAAGGUACGAGGGAGUGUAGUUAUGUGGGAAUUUAACGAUUGGAAUAGUUUUGGACGGCUGUGAUUUAAGUUACUUCUGUCCAAAGAUAUGAAAGAAAAGGACAUAGGGGCGUUGAAAAUGGGAUUAGGAACAUUAUAAUGAGGUUAAAUAAGAGUGUUGGAGUUCACCACGUGUGAGCAACUCGGUUCCAGGAGGGGAAAAUUUAGAAAAUGGGACAGUUGUAUUAACCUGUCCAUGGGACACGUGUUGCUUGCACGAGGUGAAUUUGUACAAGGUAGUUGGUAGAGGUACAUUAUCUUGAUACAGGAGUAGCUGAGAACAGUUUAUAAUUAGUAGAAAUCUUUUUAUGGAGUUAAGGGAUAAUAUGAUAAAAGGCAAGGGGGUAUCUAUAAUAUGGAAUUUUAGAUUCUGCGUUAUGUUAACUAUUUUUACGUUUAAAAAGAUAUAACCUAUGGUGAAAACAUUGUUAGAUAUGGCGUUAAUAGUUAAGUUAAAUGGAUGGACAGGUAUUUUUCUUUUACAAACUGAUUUCUAUUAUUUUAAAGUAUUCUGCCUAAUUAUAGCGAUAGAUGCUUCUGUAUCAAGUAGUAGAGUAGGUUUACAUUAUUGGACAGUGUGUUCAGCUCGAACGAGCAAUAGUUCAACAAAAGUUAUGUAUGGAGGAACCUACUGUUGUGCUGUCUUGUAUGUCGGGACAGUCCUGGUCUUGUGCCAUGGUUGGAGGAUCUUUGGGAAGGUCAGAGUUCAUUGUUUGCGCUGGGCUCGUGGUUUAGAGAUGGUCGGGGGAGCAGGUAACAUACGCUCGCGUGUUGGUAACUCGGAGGGGUGCUUGCAGGAGGUUUGCUGGCUUUCUCAGUCUUGUAGAGUAUUGUAGUUGGGCCCGAUCUGCUUGGGCGUCGUAGUUGGUGAAGAAGCUCUGCGCCUCGUACGAACCAUCGUAGCGAUUCCACCUCUCGCGAUGUCCGGUCACGGCAGAGAGCUGAUGUAGCGUCGUCGUCAACCUCCCUAAGACAUCUGACACCGGCGGCGGGGGUGUGACGUCUUCCUGACUGGGGACAAUUUCCUGCGUCCUACCGAGAGUGUUUUCUUUCUUCGGAAAAGUGGGGCUUCCGCCACUUUCGUAGUCGGGAUCGGUCUUCAUGGGCUCCUUUGAGUCCUCCUCUCUUCCCUGUUCCAUCUUUCUGUACAGACAGUGGUCUAUUUGCUUACUUGUACCUUGGCGUCCACUAUCCUGUCGACUCUUCGUUACGGGGGAGUCUGUGAUAUCUUGGGACCUCUGGGACCAGUGUUACCUGAUGCUAGACGAACCUCGAUGUCAACUCUACCGUGCAGUCGUGGUGGAAGGCGACACAGCUGGGCCAAAGGUGAAAUAACGUCUGACGUCAAGAAGGAAUGGGAUGAGGAGAGAGAGAUUUUAGAGCAAGUGUUACCGUUGGAAUCCAAGCGAAGACUGACAAUUCUAGGGCCUCGAUUUAACACCACGACCUUGCUGCUUUUUAAUUGGCUGACCUAUUUAGGUGAUUCUUUCCUAAUUGGUGGGACUUUUUCACGUGGUAGUGGGCUAUUGGUUGACCUACUUAGGUAUUGUCUUCUGAUUGGGCCUGGCUUAUCUCUUUGACGGAAGAAUACGUCCGGUCUUGUUCCGGAAAUUCGGGGCGUUACUCUUAGCUUUUAUGGUUUCCGCGAUAUCAGAUACGCCCUGUCCUGUCAGGAAGUAUUGACUUGUAAAUUAUUUAUAGUUGGGCUGGUUUUAAGCCUCUUUUGCUAGGCCUUGCUUCGACUUCUGUCCUAAACCUGAUUUGUUUUAACCUUAACUUUCUCCUGUCUCUCUCCAUUCCUUCUAUCUGUACAGUUGCAAUACUUUAUUAGAUUCUUACGCGGUACAGAUUGAUGUUAGUUGAGGCUUUCUAUGUGCAGUACAUAAGAAGUUGUAUACAGUCAUGGGGUGGAACAUGUGGUAGUGGAUAUUGAGACUAUUUACAACAAUUCCAUGGUCUUAAAUCAUCACAUAUAUAUAUGAUAAUAUACACAAUUGUCUUCCAUAUUUUUUGACAUGUUUAUCUAUGAAUUUUUACUUUUUUACGUAGUUUAAAAGUUGAAGUUUUAAAGGCUUUGAUUGUUUAUGAUUCGUAUUGUAUAUAAUUGAUAAAUUCUAUUAAUUAUAGAUGUUAUCUCCACUUAGAGGACUGUAUUUUGCUCCUAUAAAGCUCCACUCUACUGCCGUCUAUCUCGUGAAUUCUUUUCCGGCCAACGGCAACACGGAAGCACAAGCAAGCACACUGAUACUCUGAGCUACUUUAUUUUCACAAUCUUACAAUUUAUACAUUUGCAUGACACGUGGUCAACGGUCAAACAAAAUUAAAAAAAAAACAUUAAUAAUAAACAAUAAAUAUUCACAGAUAUAUACAUUUUAAUUCUCAAUAAUAUAAAAUAUAUAAUAAUAAACAAAUGUAUUUCAUAUUUGUUAACAUGUUUAUCUAUGAAAAUUGAAUAAAUAUAAAAUAAAACAAGAAACUCAUUUUUGGAAGCCAUUUUGUUUAUUAUUCAAAUGUAUUGUCAACUUAGAUGCAUAUACCUGUGGCUAGAAUAUAUAUAUUAUAACGCUUAUUUUGGAUCAAAAUAUUUAUUAUAACUUCCAAUAAUUCGAUAAUAUAUAAUUAUUUUUUUAAUUAUUCGAUAUUUUUCACUCACACACAGUUUUGAUAAAAUAUUAUAUUUGCAUCUCUUUACUCUUACAAAUUCCUAUUACAACGUCUUUUAUAUUUCUCAUAUUACCUUUGAAUUUCCAUUUACCCUCUUCUCGCUACUCAAGCUUAUACUUCUACUGGAUGAUCAGUAUCUUAUCUAUACAUUAGUGUAGAUAGCGUCUAGGUUGUCUGAAUUGUAAAAGAAGUUUGUGUAGAGUGGGCAUUGCCAUCACAGAUAUGUGUAAAUUUCUUAUAGAUGUUGUGUAAUUAAAGUAAGUAAGAAGGACUUAACCAAUUUAACUUUACAUAUUAUUAUGUAACAUAGGUGUUUUGACGGGAGAGGCGACCUUUGUCUCUUUAGAUCAAUAUGCUCCCGGUAAAAUUUCCAUCUAAAUUUUAGCCAUAGAUAUGGCCCAGCCACUUUGGCAGCUAAACACCUCUUUGGCGGAUUGUCAAGAUUCCAUUAGAUCCCGUGUGGAUCUCAUGGAAUAAAGUCCGCCCUAGACUGACGAGGGCCAUUAGCCCGAAACCAUGGUCUCUAGGUGGACGCUUUUCAGUUUGCCAAAGCUGGUGUUGUGGCUUUGUCACCGACCCGAGACCGCUAGUUUGCGGUGACGGUCAAUAUUUAGCGUCUAGUUUUGACGUCUGUUUUGACGGGAGAGGCGACCUUUGUCUCUUUAGAUCAAUAUCCUCCCGGUAAAAUUUCCAUCAAUAUUAUUUAUUAUUAAUAUCAAUUAUACAAAACAAAUCUUGAUAUACAUGUCUACAUGUGAACAACAAAAAGAAUAAACAUUAUAUCCAUACAAAUUCCUUUUCAAACACGAGCUCAUCUAUAGCCAUUGUUACUCUGUGUAGUAUUCCAACAAUAGAAACAGGCCAAAGUGUCCAUUCAUUUUUGAAGAGUAUUCUGCUAUGUUAGUCCAAAUCUCACUAUAGCUCUGGAACUAAAGGAAAAACAGUUUUGUUGAACGUUAAGCCUGAUUCCAGAUGACGUAGUUAACGAUCCCUAACUAGAUGUUAAACCAUUACUGGAGGGAAAAUAAUUUACGAUGAUGUAUCUAACCCAGCUAUUACUGCAUUUUUAACCCCACUUCAUAAAUAACGCCAUGAAUUAGUAAAGGCCAUUGAUCUGGCCACACAGGUAAAUAGAACGCCCCUGCCAUCCAUUACAGAAAUUGUUCCGUUCAUCCACCAGACGGCUCGCAGAGUAGCCCAGACAUCCUGCAAGAUCUUGAUAAAAUCUUUAACUCUCUCUGGAGCGUGUUUUCUAUUAAAAGUAAUAUCUGAUCUCACAUGAUAUCAGAGUAAAAUUCAACGAUAAUACUGAAUUUUAUAUCAGGAAUAGGAUAUCUAGGAAUCUCCUUUCAUAAUAUUAUGAAUAUAUAAAGUAUUUUAUUUACUUCUCCUGACGAAGUCAAAAGAUAUUUGUCAAAACGUUGAGAAAAUAAAAAAAAACUCUAACUGGCCGAAGUAUCUAUUUUACAUAUAAAUAUAAAAAGUAUUUUAACGUUGAAUUUGAUUUAUAACGUUCUCUCAUACAUAAAUAAUUAAGGCUUUGAAGAAUUAUUCAAUCUGCAAUGUUUAAUAUUUCCAGGACUCUUUAAGAUUUGUCGCUUCAACGUAAAUGACAACUUAGAAGCCAAUGUCAAACUGUACAAAAAAAGAUGGAUAAACAAAUUAAUUUUGAAUUGAAGAAGACACCUUAUGUUGAGCCAAAUGAAAAAAUAAAUUGUAAAAAGGGGAAAAUUCGUGAAGCAAAGGGUUUCUUGUAAGAAUUCAAGAAAUUCUUAACGUCACGAUUUUCUUCUUUUUAUAAUUCACUGAUCAAGGCGACUGUCCUCAGCAAAUAUAAAUGAUACCUAGCAUGUAAGGUAUUAAAACAUAUAAUUCCAUAACCUAAUACACCUAUAUCGACAAUUAAAGAUAAUAAAUAUCCAAAGAGCCAUGGUAAACCAAAUAUAUUUACCCUGUGUACAAAAUGAAAUAAAAAAGAAUACAUUGACAAAGAUCUAUAAGAUACAAAAGGAAGCAAACCAAUGCUCUAAAAGGUUUAACCAAAUCAAAGACAAUGGAUAUCCAAUACCUGAACAAAUUUAAAAUUAAACCAUACAUAACUUAGCAUUGAGAAAAAACAAUGCCUAAGCAAAGUUAGAGUAAACCAAAUGCAAUGCCCAAAUAUAGGCAUAAACAAUACCUGAAAAUAUAAGUGCACUAAAUACAACAGAAAAAAAGAAAAAGGGGGCAUCUCCUUAUGGGGCAACUGAAAUUCACACUAAAUACAACAUCUAACAUGAGUGUUGUGGGAACUAGGUAAAUCAUCUUUACGAUCUAACCUGAGACACUAGUAAGCAAUUUACACUUAUGGACAGAACUUAAGGAAGGUGUAUCUUUCAGCAUGUAUAUAGGGAUUCAGACAAUAACUAUGAAAUAUAUUACAGUGACCUUAUUGAAGACACACGAGAUAACCAAGUGUGAACAAAAUUUCCCCUGUCUCCUUUAAAUAAACAGACAACUGGCAUUUGAAAAUAUGAAACUUCUUUAAGUUUUGUCCAUAAGUGUAAA